This 346-nucleotide unclassified non-coding RNA is filed under the name soil metagenome. RNAcentral's name for it is "partial contains 5.8S ribosomal RNA, internal transcribed spacer 2, and large subunit ribosomal RNA". The stretch from base 1 to 120 matches the Rfam family "5.8S ribosomal RNA", at positions 35 to 154 of the family's 154-position model. The record is from RNAcentral.
GAUGAAGAACGCAGCGAAAUGCGAUAAGUAAUGUGAAUUGCAGAAUUCAGUGAAUCAUCGAAUCUUUGAACGCACAUUGCGCCCAUUAGUAUUCUAGUGGGCAUGCCUGUUCGAGCGUCAUUGCUGCCCUCAAGCACGGCUUGUGUGUUGGGCCCCGUCCUCCGAUCCCGGGGGACGGGCCCGAAAGGCAGCGGCGGCACCGCGUCCGGUCCUCGAGCGUAUGGGGCUUUGUCACCCGCUCUGUAGGCCCGGCCGGCGCUUGCCGAUCAACCCAAAUUUUUAUCCAGGUUGACCUCGGAUCAGGUAGGGAUACCCGCUGAACUUAAGCAUAUCAAUAAGCGGAGGA